GAUGAACGCUGGCGGCGUGCCUAAUACAUGCAAGUCGAGCGAACAGACGAGGAGCUUGCUCCUCUGACGUUAGCGGCGGACGGGUGAGUAACACGUGGAUAACCUACCUAUAAGACUGGGAUAACUUCGGGAAACCGGAGCUAAUACUGGAUAAUAUAUUGAACCGUAUGGUUCAAUAGUGAAAGACGGUUUUGCUGUCACUUAUAGAUGGAUCCGCGCCGCAUUAGCUAGUUGGUAAGGUAACGGCUUACCAAGGCAACGAUGCGUAGCCGACCUGAGAGGGUGAGCCGCCCCACUGGAACUGAGCCACGGUCCAGACUCCUACGGGAGGCAGCAGUAGAGAAUCUUCCGCAAUGGACGAAAGCCUGACGGAACAACGCCGAGUGAGUGAUGAAGGUCUUCGGAUCGUAAAACUCUGUUAUUAGGGAAGAACAAAUGUGUAAGUAACUAUGCUCGUCUUGACGGUACCUAAUCAGAAAGCCACGGCUAACUACGUG
RNAcentral lists this ribosomal RNA (497 nucleotides) under uncultured bacterium. RNAcentral's name for it is "partial 16S ribosomal RNA". It matches the Rfam family "Bacterial small subunit ribosomal RNA", at positions 28 to 507 of the family's 1533-position model. The record is from RNAcentral.